GUGGAUUAGAUACCCGAGUAGUCCACGCCCUAAACGAUGAGGGCUAGGUGUUGGUGGGAAACCCCAUCCGUGCCGAAGCAAACGCGUUAAGCCCUCCGCCUGGGGACUACGAGCGCAAGCUUAAAACUCAAAGGAAUUGACGGGGGCCCGCACAAGCAGCGGAGCGUGCGGUUCAAUUCGAUGCGACACGAAGAACCUUACCAGGGUUUGACAUGCGGAUGGUACCGAACCGAAAGGGGAGGGACCCGCAAGGGAGUUCGCACAGGUGAUGCACGGCCGUCGCCAGCU
RNAcentral lists this ribosomal RNA (288 nucleotides) under uncultured bacterium. RNAcentral describes it as "partial 16S ribosomal RNA". It matches the Rfam family "Bacterial small subunit ribosomal RNA", at positions 773 to 1060 of the family's 1533-position model. The record is from RNAcentral.